UAGCUUGGUGGUUCAGCACUUGGCUGCUAACCAGAAGAUUGGUGGUUCAAACCCACC
RNAcentral lists this transfer RNA (57 nucleotides) under Loxodonta africana (African savanna elephant). It matches the Rfam family "tRNA", at positions 8 to 63 of the family's 71-position model. Rfam says of the family: Transfer RNA (tRNA) molecules are approximately 80 nucleotides in length. Lineage: Eukaryota; Metazoa; Chordata; Mammalia; Proboscidea; Elephantidae. The record is from Rfam by way of RNAcentral.